Molecule: ribosomal RNA, 496 nt
Filed under: uncultured bacterium
Lineage: Bacteria
Description: partial 16S ribosomal RNA
Rfam family: Bacterial small subunit ribosomal RNA
Source: RNAcentral
GAUGAACGCUGGCGGCGUGCCUAAUACAUGCAAGUCGAGCGAACAGACGAGGAGCUUGCUCCUCUGACGUUAGCGGCGGACGGGUGAGUAACACGUGGAUAACCUACCUAUAAGACUGGGAUAACUUCGGGAAACCGGAGCUAAUACCGGAUAAUAUAUUGAACCGCAUGGUUCAAUAGUGAAAGACGGUUUUGCUGUCACUUAUAGAUGUAUCCGCGCCGCAUUAGCUAGUUGGUAAGGUAACGGCUUACCAAGGCAACGAUGCGUAGCCGACCUGAGAGGGUGAUCGGCCACACUGGAACUGAGACACGGUCCAGACUCCUACGGGAGGCAGCAGUAGGGAAUCUUCCGCAAUGGGCGAAAGCCUGACGGAGCAACGCCGCGUGAGUGAUGAAGGUCUUCGGAUCGUAAAACUCUGUUAUUAGGGAAGAACAAAUGUGUAAGUAACUAUGCACGUCUUGACGGUACCUAAUCAGAAAGCCACGGCUAACUACGU